RNAcentral lists this long non-coding RNA (1441 nucleotides) under Lathyrus oleraceus (garden pea). Its description in RNAcentral is "Pisum sativum (pea) long non-coding RNA (PSAT_LNC026764)". Lineage: Eukaryota; Viridiplantae; Streptophyta; Magnoliopsida; Fabales; Fabaceae. The record is from RNAcentral.
UGCCAAAUAAAAUUUGGGAGGUGGAGGAAGAAACCUCAAACUUGGAACAUGAAUAAUUUAGUGGCGGCCCACAUAGAGUAACAUCUAAUUUUAUAUUAAAUUUUUAUGUUAAGCUAAUUAAUUAUUAAAGUUAUUAUAAAACCAAUUACAAUGCGAAGAGUACUUCAUCUUUGUAGACCUUAUCUAUUAUGUCGUGCAUUUUAAAAUUUAGAUCUAUAUAUUCUAUCACAGUUGAUAAUUACUUAUAUAGUUUCAUUUAUAUAUUAAUUUUUCCAUGAAUAGAUAAACUUACAAAUCGAUUAAUUUGUAACUUAAUUGCUUUUAAAUAUCAUUAUUUAUCCAUAUAUAUCAAACGGUGCAACCUUUGACUCCAUGUUAAUUUUAAAAUUCAAGAGAAGUAAGAACAAUUUUCUUUUCAACUAACUAACCUCAACGACAGAGUAAUCAUAACUAACUCUUUAGAUUCAAUGAACACAAACAAUUGAAAUCAUUAAAUUAAACAUAGUUAUAUAGCUAAUAGACAGCACAUAUUGACAAUGAAACACAUGCUCUCUAGUUAUUAUCUUGUGGAUACACAUAGCAAUAAGAGUGAUGUAAGAUUCAAGGAGAGUUAGUUCAUGUUUGCAUUGAUGGCAAGUUUCACAAAAAUUAAGGUUGUUUUAAGUGUGAAUUUUUCACUUUGUAUAUUCGAUCCAACCCUAUAAUUCUAUUUUUGAUUUCUACUAAGCAGAAUCACAUUUUGAUAUCAUUUUAUUAAAAUGUUUAGAAGAUACAAUAGAUCAAUACUUCAUAAAAAAAAAUGUCAGAUCUCCGUAUAAUAUCCAGAGUGUCAAAAAGACAAAACCAACAAAUAUUUCAUAAUCAUUAAAAAUGAAUAGUAUAUAUAAAAUAUUAUGUCUGUGUUUGGUAAUGCGGUGAAUCACCGCUGUCCCACGUUUUUAAAAUUAUUUCUACCUUGAAUUUGAGAAGUUCGUAAAUGUAUUUUUUUGCUCACCGAAGAUUUUCACCGUGAUUUCUUUCAUCAUCAAACAUAGACUUAACUAAUUCAUAGUCGAUGUCGAACUGAUCCGUGAUGGUUCAACAUGCACUUAUUGAUGAAGUGGUUUCUCUUUUGUAAAUGUGAAGAACACAAUAAAACAAUGGAAUCUCAUGAUGGACCCUACUUAGUUGAACAAACCGUUAAGUGGCCUUGUCUCAUCUAUGAAACAAACAACUUUAUUUUGACAUUAAGCAAUUUAGGCACCUCUAAUACUGAUGAAAAAUUUCUUAUAAAUCAAGGUUGAACAUUGAAGGACUCUAAUGGACUUUUGGCUUUUGGUUUGCAUACAAAACCUAAUCCUUAUUAACUGUCCAAAGACAACCUUGUCUAGGAGCAAACACUGUGACCCUUAACACUAAACAAAAUGUGACUAUUGUCUAAAAUAUCACUUUUGGAUUAUCC